This 253-nucleotide ribosomal RNA is filed under the name uncultured bacterium. RNAcentral's name for it is "partial 16S ribosomal RNA". It matches the Rfam family "Bacterial small subunit ribosomal RNA", at positions 524 to 776 of the family's 1533-position model. The record is from RNAcentral.
UACGAAGGGGGCUAGCGUUGUUCGGAAUUACUGGGCGUAAAGCGCGCGCAGGCGGUUCGGUAAGUUGGGGGUGAAAUCCCCGGGCUCAACCCGGGAAUUGCCUUCAAGACUGUCGAGCUAGAGGACGAGAGAGGUGAGUGGAAUUCCCAGUGUAGAGGUGAAAUUCGUAGAUAUUGGGAAGAACACCGGUGGCGAAGGCGGCUCACUGGCUCGUUUCUGACGCUGAGGCGCGAAAGCGUGGGGAGCAAACAGG